Molecule: ribosomal RNA, 238 nt
Filed under: Achatinella fuscobasis
Lineage: Eukaryota; Metazoa; Mollusca; Gastropoda; Stylommatophora; Achatinellidae
Description: partial 16S ribosomal RNA
Source: RNAcentral
UUGAAGUCGAGAAUGAAAGGAAAAAUUAAAAUAAACUGUCUUAGAAGUUUUUUUUGAAAAUUGCUGAUAUGGUGAAAAUUCCAUAGAAAAUUUUAAUAGACGAGAAGACCCUAUGAAUUAUUUAUUAAAAAAUUUUUUUUGGAAAAUUUUAAAUUUUUGUUGGGGCAACAGGAAAUAAUCGAAAAAAUUUCAUUUUGGAUAUAUAACAUUUGAAGUUUUACUAUAAGUGAAUUUAAUU